UCCUGGGCCAUUAGCUCAGGUGGUUAGAGCGCACCCCUGAUAAGGGUGAGGUCCCUGGUUCAAGUCCAGGAUGGCCCAUUCGGUGUUGGGGGUUUAACGCAGUUGGUAGAGCGCCUGCUUUGCAAGCAGGAUGUCAGGAGUUCGAGUCUCCUAACCUCCACUGACCGAACUCAAUCUCCGGUUUUGCAUUGAAAGAUGGAGAACCACUCGAUUGUGAUGUGUGAUUUAGAUGUGUCCGCUGGAUGACCUCAGCUUCCUGUCAUUCCAAAUCGAAGUAAAUUAGUUUACUUGAACGAAUUUGGUUGAUAAGAUGCUGGGCUCGAGUUCAGUGAUCAAGAGAUUGGUCAUUGGAUUUGAAGUCUGGCAGAACCUUGACAACUGCAUAGGUAAGUCUGGAAAAACAAAGCAUCUUACAGAUGCAUUGUUUUGAAUCUGAUCUUCUGAAAGGGAGAUUGGAUCUAGAACAAUGAAAAUUCUUUUGAGCAAGAGCCGAGACUCUUGAGCGUUCUUUGAUUCGUGUCGAGCGAAUCAGAGUUUGAUCUUGUUUUAGGAAUCAGCGAAAGUUGAUGAUUAAACCUUGAGAAUCUGCUUUCAACGGCGGUAAGCGUUCAGGAGAUUAAUUGGUCAAGCUACAAAGGGCUCACGGCGGAUACCUUGGCACACAGAGGCGAUGAA
This 675-nucleotide transfer RNA is filed under the name uncultured cyanobacterium. RNAcentral describes it as "partial contains 16S-23S ribosomal RNA intergenic spacer and 23S ribosomal RNA". The stretch from base 5 to 78 matches the Rfam family "tRNA". The record is from RNAcentral. Lineage: Bacteria; Bacillati; Cyanobacteriota.